RNAcentral lists this long non-coding RNA (330 nucleotides) under Ursus maritimus (polar bear). RNAcentral's name for it is "lncRNA (ENSUMAG00000018460.1)". Lineage: Eukaryota; Metazoa; Chordata; Mammalia; Carnivora; Ursidae. The record is from RNAcentral.
GCCUGAUGUGGGGCUCGAUCCCAGGACUCCUGGAUCAUGCCCUGAGCCGAAGGCAGACGCUUAACAACUGAGCCAUCCAGGCGCCCCAGUAAAUGCUACUUUAUAAACAUAACCUACAAAGUGAUGUGAACUCAGACAUCGAUCUCAGGCUCUUCCCACAAUGAAACAGAAUGGUGCAUUUUAUAACCAGAGCCAACUCAGACCCCUUUGUUCCCUGCUGAAGCCAGCUCUCUUCCCUCUCAGGCAGAGGACCUGGCAUUCUCUCUGCUGUGCUCCUGCAGAGCCCCAACAGAAAAGCAGAACCCAAGGAAAGGCUGCCUUCAAAUGGGG